This 3331-nucleotide long non-coding RNA is filed under the name Octopus vulgaris (common octopus). Lineage: Eukaryota; Metazoa; Mollusca; Cephalopoda; Octopoda; Octopodidae. The record is from RNAcentral.
GGACUGCUCGCCUGAAAGACAAGACGACUGAAACACACUAAUACGUAUACACACACUCAUUACAUACACAUACAUACAUUCUAAAGAUGGCCGCCAUAUUUCAGCUUGCAUCGACACGACGCUGCCUUACGACCGACACUUGCUGCUAAAGAAAUACACCAACUUGAGCCGAAAAUCUUAAUCAACAUUACUUCCAGCAUCCCUAUCUAGCUGAUCGACUAACUUUUAGACCCAUUCCAGGUAAAAAUUGUGAAAAUCUUAACAUUUUAUUCGCCAUUGUGCAGUGAAAACUAGAGAAAAAAAUGGCUAUUGUAUUAUAACAUUGAAAUUCAGAGCCCAUCUUUCUUUUUCUAUCUUACCCUCUCUAUUCCUCUUUUCCACCCUCUCUCUAUCUUUAUCUCUCUCUCUGUUCCUAUUACUCCAUGUAAAAGCUUGUUGAGUGGCUGUACGACGUGGUAGUGGUAGUAGUUACAGUAAACCGUGCGUAGGAAGGGAGAGGUAAUCGUUGCGUUACUCUCAUGCUUCUUCCUCCCUCCUAAGCUAGCAGCAGUGAGAGUUGGCCUCUCCUUCCUCCUCCUCCUUCAGUCAAGCCAAUGCGUAUGACGCCUCACUCAUACUUCUACCCCCCUCCCAUGGAAAAUCUAUUGAUAACUCAUGAUUUAUUUAUUUAUUUUUAAAAAAAGCUUGGAUUUAAUUACAAUUAAUUUUUAUGUUUUUGACAUUCCAAUUGAAGAAGAAAACAAUCUUAGAAAUAAUUUGCUCAUCCACGUUUUGAGUAUUUUGAGGAUCGUUUGUGGGGGGAAAGAAAAAAAAAGUGUUUGCUGCUAUGUGUGCCAUUGUUCCGGUCGGUAGUUGUCGGCCAUGAUGCCUUUGACUACUGCAGUCGUCACAGUUUUUCAUGUAAUAAUGUCAUCAUCAUAAUAAUAAUAAUAAUAAUGAUGAUGAUGCGAUUAUAGUGAACUCAACGACACCGAACGAGAGAAAUAUUGGAAAAAAAAAUUAAUCAAAAGGUCACAGAAAAGGUUUGUUUUGUAUUUCUAGUUAUGGACUUCACCCAUUUUUUAAAAAUUUGUACUACUACCACUACUACUACUACCGUUAUUACAUUUACAGUCGUUACUACUACUACUUACUAUAGCUUUUCUUCGCACAACCCCCGGUCACACCGGUCACCAUUCAUUCUUGGGGAGUUUCAUUCAUGUAUUUUAAAUGUAUUAAUGUACACCGCUUCCUGUUUUCACCCUUUUUUAUUUAUUGCUGCUCCUUGAAAAUGUCGUUUCGACCAGUCCAGCUUUUCUUGUUACGUGCUGUGUCUGUCUUACACGUGCAUCUUCUCAGAGCUUUAUUUCCUUCUGUUCAAUGUUUAUUAUUUUUUUCUCGGCCUUACAGGUGGGUGGGAAAGACCCCUUAUUUGAAAUAAGUAUUUAAAGAUGAAAAACACGCCAUAGUUUUUUGUUUUUUUUUAAUUUAGCUCCACCUCAACUUCAUUUCUAUCAUUCACUUCGUUUUAGCAUGUAGGUGGAACGUUAGAGCCCCUUAUAUAUAUAUUGUAUUUAUCCAUUUUAAUUAGGCUGGGUAGCUUCAUUACAAUUAAUUAAGCUCGUAUAUUAUCACGGGUGUUGCUUGUCUAAUUAUUUACCGAGCGCUGAGCUAGUCAGAUGACUUUCAUUCGACCUUGGAUUUACAUGUCUUUUACACGUGGGACAUUUUGAGUAAUUUUAAAUUUAAUGUUUUCGGAAAGUUUUUAAUUUAAAACUUCACACCCAAAUGAAACCUUUUUGUAAUUUAAUAUUUCGUUGGGAAAUUUAACUUAGCCUUAUACAAUUUUAAUUAAAAUUUUUUUUUUGUCGAAUGUUCGACAGUGACUUUUAUUUAAAAUGAUUAAUUAGUUUAAAUUUUUAAAUUAUGAAGUAUGUUUUUCUAAUUUAAACUAUUAUUUUUUAUAAAAUAUUUUAUACCUACUUUCGAGUCACCCAAAGUUUAUGAAGACGUAUGGUGUUCGUCUUUUAUUUAGUAAUGUAGUUUCAAGUGCCUUGUUUAUAUUUUAAGGUAUUUUGUAUUUCCCGGUUAUUUUAUCCACGUGGUUUUGUUGAUGAAAACAUUGCCGUACAUAUGCAUCUGGUUUGGUAAUUAUUCCGCCGAAUGCAAUCAUAAAUUAUUACAAUUUAUUUUUAAUUUUCUCUUCUUUUAAAUAUACAAAAUAAAUAGCUAAAUUUAUAUUCAUUAAAUCCUGAAAUGCACGAAUUUUUAAAUAUUUAUAAUUGGUUUAAAAAAAAAUCCUACUGGAAUUUUAGCUGAUUGUUAAAUCUGUUUAACAACAAAUAUUGGCUAUUAAAAUAAACAGGAAUUGCUUUAGCUUUAUAAGGCACAAAAAGAAAAUGACUUUAACUAAAUGUUUUUGCUGAAUAAAUUUGCUAUAUUUUACAUGAAGUUUAAAACGUAAUAGCUAAUAUUUUAUUGAAUUUACUUUCAUUUUGAAUAGUCUUGGGCGUUUUCAUAUUUGUAAGAUAUAAGUGGAAACGAAAGUUACGAAAUUUUAAGAAAAUAGUGAAAUAAUUCCGAUAUGUUUAGGUAAACCACUUAAAAGAUUUGAUGGUAUAGAUGCAAUACAUGAUGACAUGUGUUGCCAGUUUUCAUGUAUGCAAAAAAAAAAAAAAAAAAAACAACUUUUGUCUAGGACCCGAGUAGUGUGCAUGCAAUAAAGAAAAUGUCGGGUAUUGUAACUAUUUCACUUCAGGGAAAUUUGAAAUUGUUUCAUUUUUUUUUUUUUUCUUGUGAGAAGUAAAAUUUAUGUAUACACUAUGUUCCGAGACAAUUUUUUCUUAAAGUUGAAAUUCGGGGAAAUAUCGGGAUGGUGUGAAAACGAAAGUAGUUUUAUACGCGAACCUUGAAGAUCGAAUACUAGAAGCACAAUUUCAUUUUACUGGUUCUGUAAUCUAUUGAUAUUUUUACCAGACACGAUCAAAGACUGUACGCUGUACGUGUGAUUUCUAUAAAAUUAUUAAUCACAUCACUGACGUAAUUUUUUAAAUACUUUUAUGGCCUAGGCAAUGCAAACGCUUAAUCUAUUUGUAUGCUUUUAGUUACUCAUAUAAAGUAAUAGAGCAAUUACAGUUUCAAAAGUGAUACAAAAAUUAUGUUCGACUUCAAAAAGAACUUGCAACAUUUAAUCAUGCUGCCACGUAUCUUAAUUGGAUUAGCGGGCGGAAGUAAAGAAUACGCACACCACCCGUUUUCGGCGUAACCCUAACCCUAAACACCGCGUGUGCGUAUUCUUUACCUUCGUCCAAAGUUAUUUCACAGUGGUGGUGGCAUCGCAGAUCGAAUUUCC